Molecule: ribosomal RNA, 253 nt
Filed under: uncultured bacterium
Lineage: Bacteria
Description: partial 16S ribosomal RNA
Rfam family: Bacterial small subunit ribosomal RNA
Source: RNAcentral
UACAGAGGGUGCAAGCGUUGUUCGGAAUUAUUGGGCGUAAAGCGCACGUAGGCGGUCCUCUAAGUCGGGUGUGAAAGCCCGGGGCUUAACCCCGGAAGUGCACUCGAAACUGGAGGGCUUGAGUAUGGAAGAGGGUCUCGGAAUUCCCGGUGUAGAGGUGAAAUUCGUAGAUAUCGGGAGGAACACCAGUGGCGAAGGCGGAGACCUGGGCCAAUACUGACGCUGAGGUGCGAAAGCGUGGGGAGCAAACAGG